RNAcentral lists this long non-coding RNA (260 nucleotides) under Homo sapiens (human). Its description in RNAcentral is "non-protein coding lnc-MCHR1-4:1". Lineage: Eukaryota; Metazoa; Chordata; Mammalia; Primates; Hominidae. The record is from RNAcentral.
CCAUGGCAAAAGACAUCAAGACCAAAAUCAAGAACUACAGGACUGCCCCUUUUGACAGGCGCUUCCCCAACCAGAACCAGACCAGGAAUGGCUGGCAGAAAUACCUGGACCUCCACCACUUCAAGAAGGCAAUGACUGCUAAAGGAGGGGGUGAUGUCUCUGUUUGUGAAUGGUACCAGCAUGUGUACAAGUCUCUCUGCCCUAUACCCUGGGCCUCAGCCUGGGAUGACCAUGGGCAGAAGGCACAUUUCUUGGGAAGA